UUUCCGCCGGCCUAUUCAGACUCCUACAAUUUUUUAUAACCCAGUUUACUUGGCUUCAAUGAUUUCCAUUGCAAACGAAAUAACGAAACGCUCACACGCAGCAGCCCAGCGUCAAACGUGCUGUGCCUCCUGGAUGGUGCCUUGUAAAUGGUAGAUUUGUGGAGUGAACGUAUAGAGACAGCAGUCAUGUGAGCGCUCGCCUGGCUCUGUCGGUUUAAAUGAACUGAUGCAUGGCCGCAGCCCGCUGCCUGUGUGUGUAUGUGCCUGUGUGUCUGUGUGAGAGUGUGUGUGUGUGUGUGUGUGGCUGCAGGGUCUGCAGGAGGAGUAGUGAAUGUAUCGCUGAGGAAUGUACAGAAAGUCUCCCCGCCCCCAGUCUCAGGACUUCUCGCUAUGGACAAAUUCCAUAGGGGGCAAACUGACAUAAAGUUUUCAGACUAGACUGCAUCCUAUGUGGGAAGAUUUCUGCGGUUAAUGUCAGUGUAGGAAAAGAACUGACAAAAUCGAUCUUGUUAAACAUAGUCUAGGAUAUUUCUAGAGAGAGAGAGAAGGAGGAGAGGGGAGGUAGAUUGUUUAAGUAAAACGCAGCUUAUAGCCCAACUUUGAGCUGCUGGCCUCACUCCAAGAUAUAGAUAGUCUACGUCGCCAAGCGCAAAGGCUCCUUUACAAAGCCCUUUAGGCUACACUGAAUCAAGGGAUUCUGUUUUCCGAAAAUGGCGGUUUGUGCCCCCUCAAAACACAUGCCAAGGAACAUUUCUUUUUAAAGCAGUAAGUAAUGAGUUAAUGCUAGCUGGCAAAAUAUUAAAAAAGAUAAUAUAUUCCUGCUAAUAUCUGUGUUAUUUUUAAAAGAGUAAUACUAGUAAAGAAACUUGUUUUCUCGUCACUUGGACCUUUUUCAAAAUAAAACUCAAAUCUGGAAAUGAGUAUGAAAAAGUGUACUCAAUCUAGGUCAGCAGUGGUAGAAAAGAUUAUUUAAAUGUGAGGACAUUUUUGAGGAAAUAAUUAGUCUCUUGUUUUGUUGAAAAUAGCUUUAAAAAGCUAUUAAUAGCAGCUGAACACAGCUACCGUCACACUAUUGUUUUGUUCCACAAGUGACAACAACUGUGCUUGUGUUCUUAAUGAAAUAUUUGUUUAAUUGAAAGUCAUUUCAUUAAAUUCUGUGCAGACUGCAUUUCACACGCUGCAUGGUGUAUAAAAGAAAAAGCCAGGGAUUCUUAUUUGUUUUUAUUUUUCAGCACUUCAACACAAAUGUAGUUUUUUAUAAUAAACAUCUGUUGAUUUUAUAUAUUUUUUGUGACCUUAAUAUGGAUGCAUUUUUUUAACUGUUGUGGAGCAUUUGAUCAAUCAGAUUAACACCACAUGUCCGUGCAGCGUGGAAAAAAGUCUGAUGAAAAAGUGGGUGUUUUCACGCAGAGUCACAUGAAUAUUUGCAGACUUUGUCACACAUUGCUCCUGUACUUGCAUGGCUAGGGUUUUUUAGCAUUUAGCUUUUUGUCUUUGUUGCAGGAGGACUUCCCUCCUGGCUGCUUGUUGUUUACUGGUUUCAGCACCUUGAUUGAUUAGUUACACUGUGAUUUGUGCUGAGAAAAUGUCUCUCUUAACAGCUCAAAAGCAAUCAGCUUCUUCAAUAUCUGGUUUUCUAAAAGAGGGGGGAAACUUGAUUUGUUGUUCUUCAAGUUUUCACACUUUUCAGUUUUACAUUAGAUUAUGUUUAUUGCAAAAUAAAGUGCAGGAUUUGAUGAAUCUGGAAUGGAAUAUGUAGCAUUUUUACUCAAGUGGAAAAGUUUCUGCAAAUUCUUGUUAAAAAUGUAGCUUGUUAUUUGUUGUGCGUUAAUACUAACCUGGUGUUAAAGCGUUGGAGGUAAUCUGUCAACUUGAUUUUGAUAAUUAAUUUCUUUACAGAAAUACAAAUUAUUUAAUGUGGAUUUAACAGGGUUUUUCUAACUAGCAACCUUUUAAAGUGCUAUGACAGAGUUAGUAACUUUUCCGCUGUCUGUGGAUUGUCACUUAAAUUUUGAGAUGUAAAUAUAAGCAAAACAUUGAUCACAAGCUUUAAAUAGUUUUUAGGCUGAUAAUAAAAUAUUUUAUUAAGCUAAGACAAAUUAGCCAAGAGUUAAAAAGUAAUAAAACCACACUUCUGGCACAGUAAUGAGCUGUUUAUUUGUUGAAUUUGGGCAAAUAUAAAUAAAUAAAUGCAUUUAACUUCAGAAAACAUAUUCUCCUCACUAAGAUCAACAACUGUAGAUGUGCUUAAACUAAAAUAAAAAGAUUUAAAAAGGGUCUGGAUGAUAUUUCCUUUGGACAUAUGUAUCAUAAAGAACUCUGGCUGGUAAAUAAGAUAAACAGCACGUGCUGAUCAAAUAGCAAACAGUUGUUAAUGUUUGUUAUUCCAAGUGGACCCACAUGUUUAUUGCUCGGACGUGAGCGACUCAGAGGUGGAGAAUUUAAGCCUACAACCCCCCCACCGGUCGUCCUACGUUCAGACCAUAUAGAAUACGUGAACAUGCUGUCGCCUGUUAACCCUCAGACAUUGUCCUGUACGUUAGGAGCCCGUACUGCUAUUUUUUUUUAUUCUGAUCACAAAUACAGGAUGUUAAAGAUACAGGUUACACCUGGUGUAGACCUUGGGCAUGUUCAGUUCACUAUUAUAAAUCAUUGACCUCUACAGUAAAACUAUGUGAUAAAGUUGAUGGAAAACUGAGAAAAGAUGGUGGCAGUAUAUUUUAUAUAGUCUCAGAAUGUACUGCAUGUUUUUGGUUUGAGGGUGCAACAAUGAUUUCACAGUUUUAUUUUUUGUUAAGUAGACAUGGAAUGCUUCCUUCAGGCAAAUAGUUUACACUACCCCUGAUAUUGUCCUUUCUCUGAACCAGAACAUAAUGUACUCGCGUGUGUGUCUUUCUGAAUGUUUGAGUCCAACUUCUAUAGGAGGGUUCUCGCUGCAGGGAAAUCCCAAUAUUAUGGAUGCCCAGUCUGUCCCCUACUGGUCAACCUAUGGCUAGAUAGCCCCUGCCAUGAUACCUGUGUCAUUAUGUAAUUUCAAUAAAGAAAAAGAAAUUCAUAUAAAACAACACAACCUCACAGUUAACCAUAAAAUCAUGAGAAUUAUCUGCAUUUUCAUUCAAUCUGUGUACCUGUUCUAUACAGUGAAACCAGCUCAGAAGUGUCUACGCUACACUUCAGAUCAGGGGGCCAUAACUUAAUUUUAUAGUUCAUAUACUUAAUGACACAGACCUGCACAGGCAAAAUGUAUAUGAAUGAGUGCCAGUGUUCAAAGUUCACGUAACAUAAAAAUCAAAGGUGAAAAUGGGCACAGACGUACACACCAAUCAACUUACUAUAGCCUUAAGUGUCUUUAUUGAGAAAGACCUCAUACUUUGACCCUUUUAUCCUUCCAGCUAGUGGUUACCUUGGAACCUACAGAAUUAUCUUGGGGUCAGUGUGUGAAUGAACGAAUAACUCUGAGGGGCCCCAUGACAUGUCAGCAGUGAUUAUAAACCUCAUUUGAAUGGAGGGCCUUAUUAUUGGGGCUAAGGUCUACAGAUAAAAGAGCCCUCCAUUCCUUCAGGUUUACUUUUGCGAUUAGCCGCUCAGUUUCAAGAUCUCGCUUUUGCUCCAGAUAUCUAAACCUGUAUCUGAUUGGUACAAAAACUUAUCAUUUUUGAUGUCAUGUUGAUGCAAACUGCAAGGGUUUUGUUUAAAUGCAAAUUUUGACUGGUAACACUGUCUAACGUAGAACAAACCUGGCCUUGUUCUGUCACCUUUUCAUAAUGUAAAGCACACGUUUGGUUAUUUAAAAUGUACUAGUAGUGUCUUUGCUGAGGUGAAGGACAUCACAGUCACAUGAAAGUGAAAAAGUUUCUGUAUUUUAAUGGGCACCAUGAUAAUGAAUGUUGAGGGAAGCACAGGCUCUUGUUGUUGUUACUGUAAAUAUGCACUGAGAAAUGCCUCUCAACAAACCAUGUAUUAACAGAAUGCUGUUGUCUGUUUUUUCUUACAUGUGAACUUUGUAUCUUAUGCAAUGAAGCCACCCAAUAAAAGCCUGGUAAAAGUCCUUCUUUGCAUGUUUUCAUUGGUGUAGCCUGAAUGAGAGCAAACUGAACUUUUGGAGAAUCUAUUGUGGCUCCAGAUCCAACUACUUUAAAUUUGUGUGAACAUAAACUUGUCAUGCACAACAUCUUGGCGUCCGGUCUAGUUCUGUGAAAACUCUCCCAGCUUGUUUUCCCACCUCACCCACUCAACUUACAGUAUUAACUCCCACCUAUACAACCGAAGCUCAACUUCCAAUUUCAUGCACAUUAAGUCAGAAAAACACCUUACAAAACUUUGGAGUUUUCAUAUAUUUGUAUUUCCAUACAAAGAAACAACAAUAAAAAAAUGCAAUACAUAAAACUCUCUAGAGAAACUGAAAUGAUUACUUCCUGGACAAAAAAGUGGAUGUGAGCAGAGAACCAACCACUGAUAGCAUGACGACACUUUAUUUUACA
Long non-coding RNA from Lates calcarifer (barramundi perch), 4481 nucleotides. RefSeq lists it as uncharacterized. NCBI's taxonomy places the organism in Eukaryota, Metazoa, Chordata, Actinopteri, Centropomidae. The record is from RefSeq and is a predicted model, not a curated record. The transcript has 2 exons.